Molecule: unclassified non-coding RNA, 337 nt
Filed under: air metagenome
Description: partial contains small subunit ribosomal RNA, internal transcribed spacer 1, and 5.8S ribosomal RNA
Rfam family: Eukaryotic small subunit ribosomal RNA (bases 1-46)
Source: RNAcentral
AAGUCGUAACAAGGUUUCCGUAGGUGAACCUGCGGAAGGAUCAUUAAUGAACUGACUUUUGGAUUAGGUUGCUGCUGGCUUCUCGAAGCAUGUGCACACCUUUUCUAAUUGUUUUCAUACCCAUGUGCACCUUUUGUAGACUUUAAGAGCUUUGGUGGUGAAUCCAUAUCUUGGAUUUCUGGGAAACUGCUGCGUCAAGAACCAGCUGUUUCUGCACAGUUCUUAGUCUAUGUCUUUGUUUUACAACCCCAUAUUGUAUGUAACAGAAUGUGGUUUAUAAUAGGCCUUUGUGCCUUUAAAACUAGUACAACUUUCAACAAUGGAUCUCUUGGCUCUC